RNAcentral lists this ribosomal RNA (217 nucleotides) under uncultured bacterium. RNAcentral describes it as "partial 16S ribosomal RNA". It matches the Rfam family "Bacterial small subunit ribosomal RNA", at positions 328 to 539 of the family's 1533-position model. The record is from RNAcentral.
ACNCUCGACACCUACUGGAGGCAGCAGUGAGGAAUAUUGGUCAAUGGGCGCUAGCCUGAACCAGCCAAGUAGCGUGAAGGAUGAAGGCUCUAUGGGUCGUAAACUUCUUUUAUAUAAGAAUAAAGUGCAGUAUGUAUACUGUUUUGUAUGUAUUAUAUGAAUAAGGAUCGGCUAACUCCGUGUCAGCAGCCGCGGUAAUCUGAGCGGCUGGCAAGGC